RNAcentral lists this transfer RNA (79 nucleotides) under Candidatus Bathyarchaeota archaeon. RNAcentral's name for it is "tRNA-Arg". It matches the Rfam family "tRNA". From Rfam's summary of the family: Transfer RNA (tRNA) molecules are approximately 80 nucleotides in length. RNAcentral also lists the same sequence under 1 other name. The record is from RNAcentral. Lineage: Archaea; Thermoproteati; Candidatus Bathyarchaeota.
GGGCCCGUAGCCUAGCCCGGAUUAAGGCGCCGGCCUUCGGAGCCGGAGACCGUGGGUUCAACUCCCACCGGGCCCGCCA